UACGUAGGCAGCGAGCGUUGUUCGGAAUUACUGGGCGUAAAGAGUGUGUAGGCGGUGCUCCCAGUCUGUUGUGAAAUCUCCCGGCUCAACCGGGAGGGUGCGCCGAAUACUGAGGGACUAGAGUAUGGGAUGGGAAAGUGGAAUUCCUGGUGUAGCGGUGAAAUGCGUAGAUAUCAGGAGGAACACCUGUGGUGUAGACGGCUUUCUGGACCAUAACUGACGCUGAGACACGAAAGCGUGGGUAGCAAACAGG
RNAcentral lists this ribosomal RNA (253 nucleotides) under uncultured bacterium. RNAcentral describes it as "partial 16S ribosomal RNA". It matches the Rfam family "Bacterial small subunit ribosomal RNA", at positions 524 to 776 of the family's 1533-position model. The record is from RNAcentral.